This 376-nucleotide ribosomal RNA is filed under the name Clostridioides difficile. RNAcentral describes it as "partial 23S ribosomal RNA". It matches the Rfam family "Bacterial large subunit ribosomal RNA", at positions 2044 to 2418 of the family's 2925-position model. The record is from RNAcentral. Lineage: Bacteria; Bacillati; Bacillota; Clostridia; Peptostreptococcales; Peptostreptococcaceae.
GUAAUUCCGGUGAAGAUGCCGGAUACCUGCGACAGGACGGAAAGACCCCAUGGAGCUUUACUGUAGCUUGACAUUGGGUCUUGGUACUACAUGUACAGGAUAGGUGGGAGGCUUUGAAACCAGGACGCCAGUUUUGGCGGAGCCAUCCUUGGGAUACCACCCUUGUAGUACUGGGACUCUAACCAUAGGCCAUGAAUCUGGUCUUGGGACACUGUCAGGUGGGCAGUUUGGCUGGGGCGGUCGCCUCCCAAAAGGUAACGGAGGCGCUCAAAGGUUCUCUCAGUACGGUCGGAAAUCGUACGUAGAGUGUAAAGGCAAAAGAGAGCUUGAUUGCAAGACAUACAGGUCGAGCAAGGAUGAAAAUCGGACUUAGUGA